RNAcentral lists this ribosomal RNA (424 nucleotides) under uncultured bacterium. Its description in RNAcentral is "partial 16S ribosomal RNA". It matches the Rfam family "Bacterial small subunit ribosomal RNA", at positions 360 to 776 of the family's 1533-position model. The record is from RNAcentral.
AAUUUUGGACAUGGGGGGUAACGCUGACCCAGCCAUCCCGCGUGUAUGAUGAAUACCAUCUGUUUGUAAAUAACGUUUGGCAGAGAAGAAUACGCAUCUCCUAAUACGAGAAACUGCUCUCGAUAUCUACUGUAUAUGCUCCGGCUCACUACGUGCUAGCCGCCGCGGUAAUACGUAGAGUGCAAGCGUUAAUCGGAAUUACUCGGCGUAAAGCGUGUGUAGGCGGUUCGGAAAGAAAGAUGUGAAAUCACAGGGCUCAACCUUGGAACUGCAUUUUUAACUGCCGAGCUAGAGUAUGUCAGAGGGGGGUAGAAUUCCACGUGUAGCAGUGAAAUGCGUAGAUAUGUGGAGGAAUACCGAUGGCGAAGGCAGCCCCCUGGGAUAAUACUGACGCUCAGACACGAAAGCGUGGGGAGCAAACAGG